AGCGAACGCUGGCGGCAGGCCUAACACAUGCAAGUCGAACGAACUCUUCGGAGCUAGUGGCGGACGGGUGAGUAACACGUGGGAACGUGCCUUUUGGUUCGGAAUAACUCAGGGAAACUUGUGCUAAUACCGAAUGUGCCCUUCGGGGGAAAGAUUUAUCGCCAUUAGAGCGGCCCGCGUCUGAUUAGCUAGUUGGUGAGGUAACGGCUCACCAAGGCGACGAUCAGUAGCUGGUCUGAGAGGAUGACCAGCCACACUGGGACUGAGACACGGCCCAGACUCCUACGGGAGGCAGCAGUGGGGAAUCUUGCGCAAUGGGCGAAAGCCUGACGCAGCCAUGCCGCGUGAAUGAUGAAGGUCUUAGGAUUGUAAAAUUCUUUCACCGGGGACGAUAAUGACGGUACCCGGAGAAGAAGCCCCGGCUAACUUCGUG
This 433-nucleotide ribosomal RNA is filed under the name uncultured bacterium. RNAcentral describes it as "partial 16S ribosomal RNA". It matches the Rfam family "Bacterial small subunit ribosomal RNA", at positions 29 to 507 of the family's 1533-position model. The record is from RNAcentral.